GCGCCGUGGUCUUCGGGGACUCGCAGCAGCGAAGGCAUCCUUAUCUGCGGCUGGGUGACGGCUAAGCCCCCGGGCGGAAAGAGAGCUGGCCGAACUCCGCGCAAUCAAUCUUGAAAAAUGAGAAGAAAAAUGCAGGUGCUAUCAUCCAUGAGUAUAGAGAACAAACGAAACAGUAUCCGUCAUGCGGAAGAAGACCUAACAGGCGAUUCCGCUGAAGUGUCUUUCCAUAGGGCACAUAGGAAGAGUCUGUUCUAAAUCCACUGCCUUCCCACUAACAAUGCUGUCGGCAGAUAUAAAGGUAACAUCUCUAUUUGGUCUGUGUUCAUUUUGCAGUGAAAAAUUACCUUUAAACUACAACCCAGUUUUUCAAGAUAAUAUAUGUGGAUGUAUAUAGCAUUUGUGACAAUGACAUUUAUGUAUCUUGUCACUAAACCUUCCCGUCGGACAUGAGAAAAAAAUACACAGUCGGUUUAGCACUCAAUAGCUUAAUUAACGUUCAACUUAACUGACUGCUGCUAUGAAUGUUUUUACUGCGAUAACUGUCAUUUCAAGGAUGGUUAAGAAAGGUUGAAAAGGAGAAUUCCAUGCAUGCAGGUGAGUUAUUUUCCUUUACAAGAUGAUGUUUGAUGUUUCCAUUAAAUUUACAUUAUUUGGUAAGCGCUUUUAUCUGAAGCGACGUAUGAUUGAGAAAGCGGGGUCAGCCAGUCCCCGGAGCGACUGGGGUUUAAGAGCCUUGCUCAAGGGCCCAACGGUGACAUCACUCUGCCAAUCCGGGGAUAUUGAACCGGCAACCUUCCAAUGACGGGCACAGAGCCACACUCCACCCGCGAGUGUGAGUUAAAUUACACACACCUUGAAAAUGAGCAUCGCCAUGGAUACCAAAAUGUGUAUUAGCCUUUGCACUACAGCCUUACUUUUCCUUGCGUUUCCUUACCUAUUGCUCUUAAAUAGAAAUAUUCAAAAUUAAAAAUGAAAGUGAAAAUAUAUAUAUAUAUAUAGAAUAGCCACUGCCUUUAUUCAUGAUUGUCUAUUGCAGGAUGAUUUGAUCUGUUCUGCAGCAACAUGCUUAUAUCACAGUACUUGCAGUUCGACCUUUACAUUUUAAUUGUUUUGGGGUGGAUGAGUGAUUAUACCUGCUUUAGAGCCCCGGGGGGGGGGGGUAAGGGGGUUCUGUAACUGUCAUGGGCCCCACAGAUGAAUGUGGGGGUGUUUUGGAGGAUGCUAUAAUAGGACCUUUGAAAUGAGUUUGCUGCUUAUGGGUGUAGAUUGUGGGAAAGUUUGAAAUCUUCUCCCUCAGACUCCUGUCGUGAGUGGCGUAGGGAGAAGACCCCUCCUGUCUUUUUCUAGAUUCUAAUCAGUAGAUUUCCAUACAUCCUUGCUGCUACAGAGAGGUAAGGAAAUUCUACAGGAUGGUGAGAUUCUGUUUUUUGAUAGGAUAAAACAUCCUGCUACCAGCUGCAGUCCCCAAACCAGGAAAUACGAAAAGCAUAACGCCGAUGGCAUUAUAACCUGCAGAAGUAAACAUGAAAUCUAAGAUUUCAGUCUGAAGGAGAGGUGCACUGCAGCUAAUGAUGCAUGAUUUCUGUCUUGAUGCACAGUUAAUUUUGCAUUUAAGUGCAUUUUUCACUUUUUUUAAAAUAUCAGAAACAACAUAUUAAAAAAUAAAAAUACAUUUGACACGGCAUAUUCACGUUUUUCAUUGCUAACUUUGUAUGUCCUUAAUAUUUUAGAUAACUCUAAAGUGAAGGAACUCAACAUGAAUUAUAACUGAAAGAAAAUCUGUCCAUCCAUCCAUCCAUCCAUCCAUCCAUCCAUCCAUCCAUCCAUCCAUCCAUCCAUCCAUCCAUCCAUUUUCCAUACCAGCCUAUCCUAGGCAGGGCCGUGGGAGGUCCACAGUCAAUCCCAGAAGCUAGGGGCAUACGGCAGAGAAAAACUCCACAUAAAUAGAUGAUAAAUAAAUCAAAUCAUCUGCUUGAAAAGUCUGUAGCCCAUACUCACCACGUUUCCAGUCUCCGAUCUAACCCCAUCUUCUGAGCCUGACAAGACUGGGAAUCCUUCCCAGAGGCAAGCAGGCACUGGAAGAUUCUCCAGCUGUCAGUGGGAGUAAACAGAGCAGAGGCUGCAGUGAAGAGAAGGAUCUCAGGAAAAGUUGUGCUGGAUUACAGUUUGAUCCAUUUUGAGCCAGCAUCUAACACCGUACCGAGGUUCCUGCACGGCAGUCAUUCAGCUCUGUAAGGCACAGCAAAUAAAUGUGUCCGGUGGAUUUAAUAUUGUAGUUUGUUUAAUGAAAUGGCAGCUAAAUGCAUUUUUUAAAAUCUUCGCGAAACUAAAAAGGGUAUUGAAUUGUGUUAAACUGUUUCGUAAAAUGUAAUUUUUCCAGUAAACCAUUGCCAUCAUGUGACAUCCUUUCCUUUGGACUGACCGCAUCUUGUUUCCAGUGCAUUUUUGAAUUACAGAAUUAAUUUAAAAAUAAGAUUCAGGAAGCGCCGAAGUUCCUGUCUAUUGAGCACAAAAUUAGUGUCGAGGCUCAUUUUUGCCUGCAGUUUAUUUGAAGAAAAGCAGCUGGAUCUCACGGGGUUAAGUCAGAACCGGUCACAUGAUGUCCAGGGUCUUAUUUGUCUGUCUCACAUGCAGAGGAAAUAAACAUGCCAGGGGAUGCAAGCAUUCAAAUGCUGGCCUUUUUACUACAGUAUAAUGGAGUCUGUACCCAUUUCCCAGCAGGCAAUGGGGAGAUGUUUAUAUCAAAGUGUUGACAGUCAUCUGGGGUGUCCAGAGAUCAGAGCAACUAAUUCAUCUGCUGUGAUACAAGAAGAAAAAAAUAAACAAUUAAACCGAAACUAUAACAACAACAAUACCGGUACUGCUACUACUAAUGAAAAUAAUCGUAAUAAUAAAGCCUGGUCUAAUAUGUAGAACUCUUUACAAUGUGCAGUUGUUUCUGUUAUUAAGUACAAGGGCUUUUUGCUAGGAUCUGCACGGUGUUAAAUUAAUUUUAGUCAGCUGGGGUUGCAGAAAUGUCUGUGACGGCAAAACACCUGUGAUGUGUGAAUCUGUGUAAUCAUGCUCACUCAAAGAGCCCCUUAGGCACUUCUGUGGGUCUUGAAAGGACAGGUGACCCUCAGCUGCGGGACACUUUCACAGGAAACAGGCACAGUGCCAAGCCGAUGAUGGAUUGAUGCAUUCGUGAGACAACCAUCUUUGCGGCUACUUUAAGCUCAGCAAAUACCACCUCAACAAGCCACUGUGAAGCCUAAUGUAUUUUCAUAUUUGUUUUUAUGUUUCCGCACUGGUGGCCUGAGCGAUAUUUCUGAGACAUGACUGACAUGUUGCGGUGACGGUUUCACCAGCAUAUUGCAGAAAGAUCAUUACUCAGGAGUUUAAAUAUUUUUAUUGUAAAUACAUAUACAUUGAUGGGCAGUAGAUAAUACACCGCUCCGUUAACACCUAGAGAAUUAAUUCAAGACCAGAUUUUGCAUACUUGGCUGCCUUUGUUCUUUUUGGAUAAAAACCAAAGCAGAAACUUCAGUUUUGCAGAGUGCUGAGUCUAGGACUCAGUGAUAGGAAGGUUGCCGAUUAAAAUCCCAGAAUGAUGUCAUCGUUGGGAACCAGGCCAGGGCCCCUAAGCCCCAAUUGCUCCAGGGACCGCCUCACUCUGCUUUCAUAAAUGUAAGUCACUUUGGAUAGAAAUGUCUAUGUCUACUAAAUAAAUAAAAUGUAUGAUUUA
Molecule: long non-coding RNA, 3724 nt
Organism: Brienomyrus brachyistius
Lineage: Eukaryota; Metazoa; Chordata; Actinopteri; Osteoglossiformes; Mormyridae
Exons: 3
Source: RefSeq, a predicted model, not a curated record